UUGCUCGCUUCAGCAGCACAUAUACUAAAAUUGGAACAAUAUAGAUAUUAGCUUGGCCCCUGCACAAGUAUGACACUCAAGUUGUGUAGUGUUCCACAUUAAA
Small nuclear RNA from Octodon degus (degu), 103 nucleotides. NCBI's taxonomy places the organism in Eukaryota, Metazoa, Chordata, Mammalia, Rodentia, Octodontidae. The record is from Ensembl.